This 17-nucleotide transfer RNA is filed under the name Lithobates sphenocephalus (southern leopard frog). RNAcentral's name for it is "Rana sphenocephala (southern leopard frog) partial tRNA-Leu". The record is from RNAcentral. Lineage: Eukaryota; Metazoa; Chordata; Amphibia; Anura; Ranidae.
AAAUCCCCUUGCUAACU